Ribosomal RNA from Apteryx haastii (Great spotted kiwi), 118 nucleotides. The record is from Ensembl. NCBI's taxonomy places the organism in Eukaryota, Metazoa, Chordata, Aves, Apterygiformes, Apterygidae.
GCCUGCAGCUAUCUGCUUUGGGGUUUGCUCCUGUCAGAUCUCAUAACAUUAAGCAAAGUUUGGCUUCCUCAGUAUUUGCAUGGGAGAGCAGCUAGGGAAGUCCAGGACUCUGCAGAUA